This is a small nuclear RNA of Myotis lucifugus (little brown bat), 162 nucleotides long. Its record names the gene U1. It matches the Rfam family "U1 spliceosomal RNA". Rfam says of the family: U1 is a small nuclear RNA (snRNA) component of the spliceosome (involved in pre-mRNA splicing). Its 5' end forms complementary base pairs with the 5' splice junction, thus defining the 5' donor site of an intron. NCBI's taxonomy places the organism in Eukaryota, Metazoa, Chordata, Mammalia, Chiroptera, Vespertilionidae. The record is from Ensembl.
AUACUUACCUGGCAGGGGAGAUACCAUGAUCAGAAGGUAGUUUUCCCGGGUGAGGCUUGUCCUUUGCACUCCAGAUGUGCUGUCCCCUGCAAUUUCCCCAAAUGUGGGAAACUUGACUGUGUAAUUUGUGGUAGUGGGGGACUGCGUUUGCGCUCUCCCCUG